RNAcentral lists this ribosomal RNA (429 nucleotides) under uncultured bacterium. RNAcentral's name for it is "bacterial SSU rRNA". It matches the Rfam family "Bacterial small subunit ribosomal RNA", at positions 355 to 775 of the family's 1533-position model. The record is from RNAcentral.
UGAGGAAUCUUGCGCAAUGGGGGAAACCCUGACGCAGCAACGCCGCGUGAGUGAGGAAGGCCUUCGGGUCGUAAAGCUCUGUCAGAUGGGAAGAAAUGGGUGGGGGCUAAUAUCGCCCAUCCUUGACGGUACCAUCAGAGGAAGCACCGGCUAACUCCGUGCCAGCAGCCGCGGUAAUACGGGGGGUGCGAGCGUUGUUCGGAACCAUUGGGCGUAAAGCGCGCGCAGGCGGCUUGGUGAGUCAGAUGUGAAAGCCCUGGGCUUAACCCAGGAAGUGCAUUUGAUACUGCCUCGCUAGAGUACGGGAGAGGAAAGUGGAAUUCCUGGUGUAGAGGUGAAAUUCGUAGAUAUCAGGAGGAACACCGGUGGCGAAGGCGACUUUCUGGCCCGAUACUGACGCUCAGGCGCGAAAGCGUGGGGAGCAAACAG